GACGAACGCUGGCGGCGUGCUUAACACAUGCAAGUCGAACGGAGUUUAGGUCAGUAGUUUACUACAGAUUUAAACUUAGUGGCGGACGGGUGAGUAACACGUGGGCAACCUGCCCUAAAGAGGGGGAUAACACCGAGAAAUCGGUGCUAAUACCGCAUGACAUUAGAGCUUCGCAUGGAGCUUUUAAUCAAAAGGGAGCAAAUCCGCUUUAGGAUGGGCCCGCGUCUGAUUAGCUAGUUGGUGAGGUAGAGGCUCACCAAGGCGACGAUCAGUAGCCGAUCUGAGAGGAUGACCGGCCACACUGGAACUGAGACACGGUCCAGACUCCUACGGGAGGCAGCAGUAGGGAAUUUUCCACAAUGGACGAAAGUCUGAUGGAGCAACGCCGCGUGCAGGAUGAAUGCCUUCGGGUUGUAAACUGCUUUUAUCUGUGACGAAUAUGACGGUAGCAGAUGAAUAAGGAUCGGCUAACUCCGUGCCAGCAGCCGAC
This 490-nucleotide ribosomal RNA is filed under the name uncultured bacterium. RNAcentral describes it as "bacterial SSU rRNA". It matches the Rfam family "Bacterial small subunit ribosomal RNA", at positions 28 to 518 of the family's 1533-position model. The record is from RNAcentral.